RNAcentral lists this ribosomal RNA (246 nucleotides) under uncultured bacterium. RNAcentral describes it as "partial 16S ribosomal RNA". It matches the Rfam family "Bacterial small subunit ribosomal RNA", at positions 791 to 1035 of the family's 1533-position model. The record is from RNAcentral.
UAGUCCACGCCCUAAACGAUGUCAACUAGUUGUCGGGUCUUAAUUGACUUGGUAACGCAGCUAACGCGUGAAGUUGACCGCCUGGGGAGUACGGUCGCAAGAUUAAAACUCAAAGGAAUUGACGGGGACCCGCACAAGCGGUGGAUGAUGUGGAUUAAUUCGAUGCAACGCGAAAAACCUUACCUACCCUUGACAUGGUCGGAAUCCUGGAGAGAUCUGGGAGUGCUCGAAAGAGAACCGGCGCAC